AAAGGAAUUGACGGGGGCCCGCACAAGCGGUGGAGCAUGUGGUUUAAUUCGAAGCAACGCGAAGAACCUUACCAGGUCUUGACAUCCUUUGACCAUUCUAGAGAUAGAACUUUCCCUUCGGGGACAAAGUGACAGGUGGUGCAUGGUUGUCGUCAGCUCGUGUCGUGAGAUGUUGGGUUAAGUCCCGCAACGAGCGCAACCCUUAUUGUUAGUUGCCAUCAUUCAGUUGGGCACUCUAGCGAGACUGCCGGUGACAAACCGGAGGAAGGUGGGGAUGACGUCAAAUCAUCAUGCCCCUUAUGACCUGGGCUACACACGUGCUACAAUGGGAAGUACAACGAGUUGCGAAGUCGCGAGGCUAAGCUAAUCUCUUAAAGCUUCUCUCAGUUCGGAUUGCAGGCUGCAACUCGCCUGCAUGAAGCCGGAAUCGCUAGUAAUCGCGGAUCAGCACGCCGCGGUGAAUACGUUCCCGGGCCUUGUACACACCGCCCGU
RNAcentral lists this ribosomal RNA (493 nucleotides) under uncultured bacterium. Its description in RNAcentral is "bacterial SSU rRNA". It matches the Rfam family "Bacterial small subunit ribosomal RNA", at positions 903 to 1397 of the family's 1533-position model. The record is from RNAcentral.